This 881-nucleotide ribosomal RNA is filed under the name uncultured archaeon. RNAcentral describes it as "bacterial SSU rRNA". It matches the Rfam family "Archaeal small subunit ribosomal RNA", at positions 1 to 865 of the family's 1478-position model. The record is from RNAcentral.
UCCGGUUGAUCCUGCCGGACCCCACUGCUAUCGGGAUAGGACUAAGACAUGCUAGUCGAGCGCUUCAGCCAAAAAGAGGCGCGGCAUACAGCUCAGUAACACGUGGCUAAUCUGCCCUUAGGACGAGAACAACCCCGGGAAACUGGGGCUAACUCUCGAUAGGUGAAGAACUCUGGAAUGAGUCUUCGCCCAAAAAGCUUCACGUUAUGCGCGUGAGGUUGCCUAAGGAUGAGGCCGCGACCGAUCAGGUUGUUGGUGAGGUAAUGGCUCACCAAGCCUUUUACCGGUGCGGGCCGUGAGAGCGGGAGCCCGGAGAUGGGCACUGAGACAAGGGCCCAGGCCCUACGGGGCGCAGCAGUCGCGAAAACUUUGCAAUACACGAAAGUGUGACAGGGCUAUCCCGAGUGCCAUCCGCUGAGGAAGGCUUUUACCCAGUCUAGAACGCUGGGGGAAUAAGGAGAGGGCAAGUCUGGUGUCAGCCGCCGCGGUAAUACCAGCUCUCCGAGUGGUGUGGAUGUUUAUUGGGCCUAAAGCAUCCGUAGCUGGCUAAGUUAGUCCCUUGUUAAAUCCACCGAAUUAAUCGUUGGAUUGCGGGGGAUACUGCUUGGCUAGGGGACGAGAGAGGCAGACGGUAUUCCCGGGGUAGGGGUGAAAUCCUAUAAUCCCGAGAAGACCACCAGUGGCGAAGGCUGUCUGCUAGAACGCGCCCGACGGUGAGGGAUGAAAGCUGGGGGAGCGAACCGGAUUAGAUACCCGGGUAGUCCCAGCUGUAAACGAUGCAGGCUAGUGUUUGGACGGCCACGUGCCGUUCCAGUGCCGCAGGGAAGCUGUUAAGCCUGCCGCCUGGGGAGUACGAUCGCAAGAUUGAAACUUAAAGGAAU